Molecule: ribosomal RNA, 436 nt
Filed under: uncultured Porphyromonadaceae bacterium
Lineage: Bacteria; Pseudomonadati; Bacteroidota; Bacteroidia; Bacteroidales; Porphyromonadaceae
Description: bacterial SSU rRNA
Rfam family: Bacterial small subunit ribosomal RNA
Source: RNAcentral
CAGCAGUGAGGAAUAUUGGUCAAUGGGCGCGAGCCUGAACCAGCCAAGUCGCGUGAGGGAAGACGGCCCUACGGGUUGUAAACCUCUUUUGCCGGGGAGCAACGGGCGCCACGUGUGGCGCCACUGAGAGUACCCGGAGAAAAAGCAUCGGCUAACUCCGUGCCAGCAGCCGCGGUAAUACGGAGGAUGCGAGCGUUAUCCGGAUUUAUUGGGUUUAAAGGGUGCGUAGGCGGAGCGUUAAGUCAGUGGUCAAAUUGAGGGGCUCAACCCCUUCCCGCCAUUGAAACUGGCGCUCUUGAGUGGAAGAGAAGUAUGCGGAAUGCGUGGUGUAGCGGUGAAAUGCAUAGAUAUCACGCAGAACCCCGAUUGCGAAGGCAGCAUGCCGGCUUCCUACUGACGCUGAAGCACGAAAGCGUGGGGAUCGAACAGGAUUAGA